RNAcentral lists this ribosomal RNA (1357 nucleotides) under Curtobacterium citreum. RNAcentral describes it as "bacterial SSU rRNA". It matches the Rfam family "Bacterial small subunit ribosomal RNA", at positions 56 to 1424 of the family's 1533-position model. Lineage: Bacteria; Bacillati; Actinomycetota; Actinomycetes; Micrococcales; Microbacteriaceae. The record is from RNAcentral.
UGCAAGUCGAACGAUGAUGCCCAGCUUGCUGGGUGGAUUAGUGGCGAACGGGUGAGUAACACGUGAGUAACCUGCCCCUGACUCUGGGAUAAGCGUUGGAAACGACGUCUAAUACUGGAUAUGACUGCCGGCCGCAUGGUCUGGUGGUGGAAAGAUUUUUUGGUUGGGGAUGGACUCGCGGCCUAUCAGCUUGUUGGUGAGGUAAUGGCUCACCAAGGCGACGACGGGUAGCCGGCCUGAGAGGGUGACCGGCCACACUGGGACUGAGACACGGCCCAGACUCCUACGGGAGGCAGCAGUGGGGAAUAUUGCACAAUGGGCGAAAGCCUGAUGCAGCAACGCCGCGUGAGGGAUGACGGCCUUCGGGUUGUAAACCUCUUUUAGUAGGGAAGAAGCGUAAGUGACGGUACCUGCAGAAAAAGCACCGGCUAACUACGUGCCAGCAGCCGCGGUAAUACGUAGGGUGCAAGCGUUGUCCGGAAUUAUUGGGCGUAAAGAGCUCGUAGGCGGUUUGUCGCGUCUGCUGUGAAAUCCCGAGGCUCAACCUCGGGCUUGCAGUGGGUACGGGCAGACUAGAGUGCGGUAGGGGAGAUUGGAAUUCCUGGUGUAGCGGUGGAAUGCGCAGAUAUCAGGAGGAACACCGAUGGCGAAGGCAGAUCUCUGGGCCGUAACUGACGCUGAGGAGCGAAAGCGUGGGGAGCGAACAGGAUUAGAUACCCUGGUAGUCCACGCCGUAAACGUUGGGCGCUAGAUGUAGGGACCUUUCCACGGUUUCUGUGUCGUAGCUAACGCAUUAAGCGCCCCGCCUGGGGAGUACGGCCGCAAGGCUAAAACUCAAAGGAAUUGACGGGGGCCCGCACAAGCGGCGGAGCAUGCGGAUUAAUUCGAUGCAACGCGAAGAACCUUACCAAGGCUUGACAUACACCGGAAACGGCCAGAGAUGGUUGCCCCCUUGUGGUCGGUGUACAGGUGGUGCAUGGUUGUCGUCAGCUCGUGUCGUGAGAUGUUGGGUUAAGUCCCGCAACGAGCGCAACCCUCGUUCUAUGUUGCCAGCGCGUUAUGGCGGGGACUCAUAGGAGACUGCCGGGGUCAACUCGGAGGAAGGUGGGGAUGACGUCAAAUCAUCAUGCCCCUUAUGUCUUGGGCUUCACGCAUGCUACAAUGGCCGGUACAAAGGGCUGCGAUACCGUAAGGUGGAGCGAAUCCCAAAAAGCCGGUCUCAGUUCGGAUUGAGGUCUGCAACUCGACCUCAUGAAGUCGGAGUCGCUAGUAAUCGCAGAUCAGCAACGCUGCGGUGAAUACGUUCCCGGGCCUUGUACACACCGCCCGUCAAGUCAUGAAAGUCGGUAACACCCGA